UACGGAAGGGGCUAGCGUUGUUCGGAAUCAUUGGGCGUAAAGGGCGCGUAGGUGGUUUUGUGUGUCUACCGUGAAAGCACACGGCUCAACCGUGUUACGUCGGUAGAAACUGCAGGACUUGAGGCUGGGAGGGGCUGGUGGAAUUCCCCGUGUAGCGGUGAAAUGCGUAGAGAUGGGGGAGAACACUCGUGGCGAAGGCGGCCAGCUAGACCAGCACUGACACUGAGGCGCGAUAGCGUGGGGAGCAAACAGG
Molecule: ribosomal RNA, 253 nt
Filed under: uncultured bacterium
Lineage: Bacteria
Description: partial 16S ribosomal RNA
Rfam family: Bacterial small subunit ribosomal RNA
Source: RNAcentral